RNAcentral lists this ribosomal RNA (108 nucleotides) under Periophthalmus magnuspinnatus. Lineage: Eukaryota; Metazoa; Chordata; Actinopteri; Gobiiformes; Gobiidae. The record is from RNAcentral.
UUCAAAGUCAAAGUCUGCGUAAUCUCGUCAGUUCACAGAAGCUAAGCAAGGCCAGGUCUGGUCAGUACUUGGAUUGGAGACCACUGGGAAUAUCAGGUGCCACAGAGG